GAACCCAGACCAGGGCGCUUGUUUAUCAAAAACAUGUCUUUUUGAUAAUAAUUUAAAGUCUGACCUGCCCACUGAUUUAUUAUUGAAGGGCCGCAGUAUAUUGACUGUGCAAAGGUAGCAUAAUCAUUUGUCUUUUAAUUUAAGGCUAGAAUGAAUGGUUGGACGUAAUAUUAACUGUCUCAUUUUAAAAAAAUUAAAAAUUUAAUUUUUUAGUUAAAAAGCUAAAAUAAUAUUAAAGGACGAGAAGACCCUAUAGAUCUUUAUAAUUAUAUUUAUAAUAUUUAUAUAGUAAUUAAUUUAAUAUUAUAAAAUUAAUUAUUUUAUUGGGGUGAUAGAAAAAUUAAUAAAACUUUUUUUAUUUAAUAAACAUAAAUUUAUGAUUAAUAUUGAUCCAUUUUUAAUGAUUAUAAGAUUAAGAUACCUUAGGGAUAACAGCGUUAUUUUUUUAGAGAGUUCAUAUCGAUAAAAAAGAUUGCGACCUCGAUGUUGAAUUAAAGAAAUUUUUAAAUGUAGAAGUUUAAAGAAAUAGGUCUGUUCGACCUUUAAAUCUUUACAUGAUCUGAGUUCAAACCCGG
This 575-nucleotide ribosomal RNA is filed under the name Nymphes myrmeleonoides. RNAcentral describes it as "partial 16S ribosomal RNA". It matches the Rfam family "Bacterial large subunit ribosomal RNA", at positions 1776 to 2620 of the family's 2925-position model. Lineage: Eukaryota; Metazoa; Arthropoda; Insecta; Neuroptera; Nymphidae. The record is from RNAcentral.